UUUGCUUAAGCCUUUAUUUCUUGAUUUUUGAUUUUCAUAUUUUUCUUUUAAUUGUAAUUUAAAAUUUUCUUUUUGGUUGUAAAUGUAUCUUGAUUUAUUUUUUUUAUUGACUCUAUUUCAUAUUCCUUGUCAAGUAGAGCAAGAGCAUGCCGUAAAGUGACUAGUGACAAUGUAUUGUAACUUUUGUUUAGGUCUAGUAACAAAAAAGUUCAUCAAUCUGAUCAAACAUGCUGAAGAUAGUAUUCUUGAUCUAAAUAAAGUUGUUGACACAUUAGAGGGGAGUUGAUGUGUCAAGGCCAGGGGAGGCUAAUAAGAAUGCUGUUACCAUACAGGUGAGAUCAUAUGCAUAGGUGCAUAGCAACACCAAUCAAACAUGUAGCAGGGGCAAGAAGAAGCCCAUAGAAUAUGCUCAGAUAUAAAUGCCACACCGGACUUUGCGAGUGGGAUCAUGAAAAUGGUUCCUGAAGUUGAAAGUGAUGCAGAUUACUGGCUUUUACCAGAUGCUGAUGUUAGCAUUACAGACUUGUGGGGGAUCAUGUGUUUGAGUCAUUAGCUGUGUUGCUUUCUGAAUUGGAUGUCUUAGUUUUGUUGAUCUGGCUAUUAGUUGCCCCACUCCCUACACACGACCAGACACCACUUCAGAUGUGGGAGAUAUUGUAUUAGAAGGAAGUAGACAUCCUUGUGUCGAGGCACAAGAUUGGGUGAAUUUUAUCCCAAAUGAUUGUAAACUAGUCAGGGGAAAAAGUUGGUUCCAGAAUAUCACAGGGCCUAACAUGGGUGGAAAAUUCACAUUUAUCAGACAGAUGCAACCCUUUUGAGUACAUGAUGAUAUCCUCGCAUGUCGAUAUUGGAGCUUACUAUUGAUAUCAAAACAAGCUACAAUAUAUAUGUUUUUUUAUUUGUAUUGUCUAUACUUUUGUUUUGUUUUAGAUACAAAAAUUUGAGUUCUUGAAUACAAAAAAUUAUUAAUAUUGUUGGAGGAUGUUUUAUAUAUUUUUCUAAAUAAUAUUUGGUUGACAAUUGUUAGAGAGUACAUAUAUAUCAUUCUUGGUAUA
Molecule: non-coding RNA, 1055 nt
Organism: Camellia sinensis
Lineage: Eukaryota; Viridiplantae; Streptophyta; Magnoliopsida; Ericales; Theaceae
Source: RefSeq, a predicted model, not a curated record